This 253-nucleotide ribosomal RNA is filed under the name uncultured bacterium. Its description in RNAcentral is "partial 16S ribosomal RNA". It matches the Rfam family "Bacterial small subunit ribosomal RNA", at positions 524 to 776 of the family's 1533-position model. The record is from RNAcentral.
UACGGGGGGGGCAAGCGUUGUUCGGAAUUACUGGGCGUAAAGGGCUCGUAGGCGGCCAACUAAGUCAUGCGUGAAAUCCCUCGGCUUAACCGGGGAACUGCGUCUGAUACUGGAUGGCUUGAGUUCGGGAGAGGGAUGCGGAAUUCCAGGUGUAGCGGUGAAAUGCGUAGAUAUCUGGAGGAACACCGGUGGCGAAGGCGGCAUCCUGGACCGAUACUGACGCUGAGGAGCGAAAGCCAGGGGAGCAAACGGG